This 266-nucleotide ribosomal RNA is filed under the name uncultured bacterium. RNAcentral describes it as "partial 16S ribosomal RNA". It matches the Rfam family "Bacterial small subunit ribosomal RNA", at positions 524 to 786 of the family's 1533-position model. The record is from RNAcentral.
UACGUAGGUGGCAAGCGUUAUCCGGAAUUAUUGGGCGUAAAGCGCGCGCAGGCGGUUUCUUAAGUCUGAUGUGAAAGCCCACGGCUCAACCGUGGAGGGUCAUUGGAAACUGGGGAACUUGAGUGCAGAAGAGAAAAGCGGAAUUCCAACGUGUAGCGGUGAAAUGCGUAGAGAUGUGGAGGAACACCAGUGGCGAAGGCGGCUUUUUGGUCUGUAACGUGACGCUUGAGGCGCGAAAGCGUGGGGAGCAAGCAGGAGUAAGUACC